RNAcentral lists this ribosomal RNA (253 nucleotides) under uncultured bacterium. Its description in RNAcentral is "partial 16S ribosomal RNA". It matches the Rfam family "Bacterial small subunit ribosomal RNA", at positions 524 to 776 of the family's 1533-position model. The record is from RNAcentral.
UACGUAGGGGGCGAGCGUUGUCCGGAUUUAUUGGGCGUAAAGAGCGUGUAGGCGGCCAAGUAGGUCUGCUGUGAAAACUCGAGGCUCAACCUCGAGACGUCGGCGGAAACCAUCUGGCUAGAGUCCGGAAGAGGAGAGUGGAAUUCCUGGUGUAGCGGUGAAAUGCGCAGAUAUCAGGAAGAACACCCGUGGCGAAGGCGGCUCUCUGGGACGGUACUGACGCUGAGACGCGAAAGCGUGGGGAGCGAACAGG